RNAcentral lists this transfer RNA (64 nucleotides) under Petalocephala ochracea. RNAcentral's name for it is "tRNA-Met". Lineage: Eukaryota; Metazoa; Arthropoda; Insecta; Hemiptera; Cicadellidae. The record is from RNAcentral.
AAAAUAGUAAGCUAAUUAUAAGCUAUUAGGUUCAUACCCUAAUUAUAGGUCAUUCUCUAUUUUA